RNAcentral lists this long non-coding RNA (1664 nucleotides) under Homo sapiens (human). RNAcentral's name for it is "HSALNT0386168". Lineage: Eukaryota; Metazoa; Chordata; Mammalia; Primates; Hominidae. The record is from RNAcentral.
UUCAAUUAAGAUUAGCAGAGUCGGAAAAAUGGCAUGGGCCACCAUUUAGUGCCAAUAAACAGAAGGCCUGGUUUCUUCAAAAGAAACACAAGAAAUUGUUUCCUGGUUUUGCCACAGAGAUUGGGUCACAGAGUGCCACCUAAAUGGUAUUACCAUAUUUGUGUUGUCGCCUCUUGGUUUGAAAUUUAUUCCUGGUAUGACUUGUGUCUCCCCUUGUUCCAUCUCUGACACCCAAGCCCAUGGGAUGACAACCCAGGCUGAGAUGUCCCAUGUGUCACAAAGGAGUCCUUCAGUAUUUCCAGGAAUAGUUGGAACCAGCACUCCAUCCCCUACCUGGACCUGGCACCCUCUCUACUCUUGUCAAUUCUACACUAAUCACAGGAAGAAGGUGGAAUUAGUCCAAGCUGGGUUUUCAGAAAUAACUUGUAGACAUGCAACAGAUGUUUAUAACCCUCAGAAGCGGAAGGAAACUUGGAAACCCUCUCUUUCGGUGACUUUUUUUCUAAUGAUUGUCUCUGCCAUGAAAUUCUAACUUCAAAUGAAAUCUUUGGCAGGAACCCAGGGCUGUUCUGUCAAGGUUCAGCUGCAGGACCAGAGCCCCUUCCACCUAACCCCCACUCCUAUCCUGAUGCUUCCUGAGGCACAUCUGCUGUGGUUUCUCACCAGAGAACAGUCUGCAAAAUCACUGCACCUUGUCCAACUCCAUUUUCCAACUGAGAAGACUUGGCCCAGAGAAGUGCACAGACUUGAGGGAAGUAACACAGCAAUCGGACAGACAGACAUCCCCAGAUAUACCUGCUACGGUCCUGGGAGAAAAUAGAGACCCAUCCCCAAAUACCAUCAUCCUCAUCAUUCUCUGUAGCCCAAUCAAAUGAUGCUCCAGGCCUGAGAUUUUAUCCAAUGAACACUCUGUACAUCUUUAAAAGAGAUAUGUACUUGUCUUAUUCCUCCUUUCCUUUCUUUAAAAAAAAACACAGGCCCCAGAUCCAGUCAUUCUAAAUAGGAAGGAAAAACAUAACCCACUGAGGCAAUGGAUGCUGUUUCUCUCCCUGCUCUGUGACUUUAGUUUGCCUUUAAAGCCCAUUUUCACCAUUUAUUGAUUUUAGUUUUCUACUUGUCUAUGAAUGACAACUUGAAUUAAGACAACGCAGGCUGAAAAGCCGCUAGGCAGUGCUAAAUGGACAAGCUACACUUCGUGGCAGGAUGUCUCAUGACCGUGCCACCUUCUGCCUAGCCCCAUUCUCUGGAGGAGCUGUGGGCAGACCGACCCCAGCCUGGCCGCCUGGCAUGGGGACUGGUUGCGUCAGAUCGGAGCUCUGAGAUAAGGGUGGGCCAGGGCAUGAUCAUCACCACUGCCAGCCUCGAAGCCUCUUUGCUGACCUGGAGGUGAUCUGUGUAUCAAAGGGGGCUGUGUAUUCAACAGCACUUCCAGAAGAGGCCAAAGAUCUGUCUCUACUUCAGCCUCCACUGGGCAGAAAACUAAGCCUAUUUGCUCUAGGCCCUUCAGACUUGCACUUGGAGAAAGAAAACUCACUAAGUCAGCCCUUAUGUAACUCCACUCUCCUCUCUUCCAAACCUCCUUGCUUUGGACAAAUAUUUGACAGAAAAUGCCCUUUUGCAACGCCUUAAAAGUUACAAAAAUGGUGCACCCUAUCCUUUAAUCU